Long non-coding RNA from Carcharodon carcharias (great white shark), 3005 nucleotides. RefSeq lists it as uncharacterized. The transcript is spliced from 2 exons. The record is from RefSeq and is a predicted model, not a curated record. NCBI's taxonomy places the organism in Eukaryota, Metazoa, Chordata, Chondrichthyes, Lamniformes, Lamnidae.
AUGGCGUCAGCGCUUGAAACGAAUGAAAUGAUCAUGCUGAAAAAAAAACUAAUCAAUAGCCAUUGCCAUAAAUUACUGCAGGAAGUGCUAAAAAAAAACAUGAAUUCCUGAAAGAAGACCGGCCGUACCUCUGGCAUGUAUCGCUCGGAAAACGACAUUGGUGAAUAGUAGUCUGAAACAUUUUGUUUUAUCUGAUGGAGAAAACAACCCGAGGGAUGAACAAAAGAAACUUUCAACGCCACCACAUAUGGAUUUACACAAAGCACAAAGGGACCAUCUAUAAACAUAAAGCAAGAGCAAGGGAGGAGCCAACAUGUUAAAGAAAAGUGUCGCUCAGAUAGAACCUCUAACCCUGAACUUUUUGUUUGCACAUGUCAACCAACUUGUUUGUUCAUAAACAAACCCAUGCUGAACGCUCUCUCCCCUUGUGCAACAGUCGGUUCCAUUUCUCAUAAUCUCCCCUCAUCGUUAUGGAGACAGAAUGAUUUAUACAUAUGAGCGUUUCUUUUUCACGAACACAUUCAUUUCAUGAAGCCCCUCUCCCAUAGCCCAUCACGCCGUGCUCGGUUUAAAUUGUCUUUUUUUUGGAAUCUGAUCCUUGAUUCAAAAUGGCAUUGUUAAUUUUGCAUUUCGCCGGUGGAUGGUGUGAAUUUGACAGCAAUGCGGACAAUGUAACUCCAGAAAGAUUUUUUUUUAAAAAAUGCCAAGGUUCCCAAUGUUAUCUUACUGAUGUGUACGUUUUUAUAUACUUAACACAUUUCAAAAACGAAUUAAAACGCAUAAUCGCAAUUAGCAACAAAUAUAGCUGCUUUGCUGAACUAUAUGUAUGUUAAAACCAUCAGCAACCAGGAAUACGCCAUUCCUUCAAUACGCCUCGGCUUCCUUUGCAGAAAAAAGUCUCCACGUGGUAUGUUUUUAAAAUCAUAAUGUAUUGCUACAAAGACAUUUUUCAGAGUCCCAGGAGAGAAGGCUGUGGACAAAAACCUUAGUAUGUCUAAUAAUGCUCUUGUUGUUUUGAGAGUUUCAGUUUCUUAAAGAUCUAUUCGGGACUUUGUAGAGAGGGAGGAAAACGGCUCCAGUAGCGAUAGUUUUUUUUUGGGGGGGCGGUGGUGGUGGUGUAAUUUGUGAUUGUGAAAUUGGCUUGAAAAAUUGGAAUUGUUCACCUUUAAAAUGCCCAAAAGAUUGCCUGCAAUUAGACAUGUACCGAGAUAGAUUUUCAGUUUAUUUUGUAAAGUGCCAUUUUAAAAAAAUAUCUAUAUCUAUAUCAAUCUAUAGAUAACUUUGCCUGUAGGUACAGCUUAUUGUGCCUGUACACGUAUCAUCUUGUGCUGCAACUGCUGCCCUUUAUAAUUAACCAUAGUAGUAGGGUCAGUUCCAUUUAAGUGAAUAUUUAUGUUAACUGAAUAGAAAUUGGGGAAGCUCGUUUUCUGCCUAAGUCUGUUUUCUUUAAAAAAAAAGUUAAAUGAAUUCCUUUAUUUCAAACAGGGUUUGCAUUGUGAGUAUAAGAAAAAUAAAAUAAAAGCAGCAUAAACGUUUCCUAUUUUAUAAAUCUAUUGCUGUCAAACAUGUAGCAGAAUUAUUGCAUUUGAACAUGGAUUUUAAUGUGAAUUUCUGCUAUGUAAAUAAAUUGCGCUAUGUAAACCAGGUUCAUUGACUGGUUCUCUGUCCCCUGUAUACUCUGCAGCUUUACAUUCGGAUUUGUUGUCAAUUUCCAUGUAACUCAAAGUUAAAUUACGGUUAGGGCAAACAUGUUAUUUCUUAAUUUGUUUGGAGUGCAAGUUCCCUUUGGCUAGUGGUGUCUGUGGUAUAAUGUAAGUGAUUUGAACAGAUACAAUACAAUAACAGGAAUACUAAUAAAAGCUUGGUGUAACCAAUGGUUUGCAAUCUCCAGUCACGCUCUGAUUUGAGGAAAUCCUAAUGUUUGUGAUGGAUUGGUAAUUUGAUACUACCAGUGGAAGCACUAAAUCAGGGUAGACAUGCAUGUGAAUGCAGCAUAAUUUCCAUUUUGCUCAAAUUGACAGUAACUGAAGGUGAUUUUGUAUUGUAAAUGUGGGUAUUAUAUUGGUUUCUUGUAGUAACUUAGUUACCCUCAAUUCCAUAACUUUUGUUGUGUUGUUUUGCUUCCCUAUUAGACAACAAAUGGAAAAACCCAUACAUUUUUCUGGCAUAACACCAACAAUACCUAGUCACUCUGCUCAGUUCCCUCCAGAAACCAUGACUGCAAUUCCAAUCACCCAUCCCAGCUGCUGCUUCAGACUGAACUUAAUGGGACUCUAUAUCAGUCAUCUCUUUAACCCACUACACAGCUUCAAAUCCCACAUUUAUCCACCACCAAGGUGGCCUGUUUACAUCUCUGCAAUACCACAUGCUCCCUAUGCCUAUCACAAUUGGGAUUCUCAUCCUUGCCAUCAUCAUCUCCCGGUUCAACUUCUUUAUGGCUUCAUUUUAUAUGGAUUUGAAUUCCUCCAAAAUUAUGCCGUCUUUAUUCUGCACUAAGUUUACUGACUUUUUACCAAGUCCCAAUCACCUAUCAUUCCUAACCCCUAACACAUUAAUUAGAACAUUUUCCUAAACUCUUUGAUAACCUCAUUCUACCCUGCCUCUGAAACAUCAUGCCAUAUGUUCCAGGCUGCACCCUUUGCUCUUCUGUCUCUAGUCCACAAUGCAUACCUUCUGCUGCUCCAUUAUGGUCGUUUCGCUAUUGCAUCCUUGAAUUCUCUUAUAAAAAAUGUCUUGCUACAUCUCUCCUAAUUUUCAAAACCUCGUAAAAUCCUAACUCUCGAGCCAUAUAUUUGCUCACCUCCCUUAACCCUUCCUUCAACUCAUGCUUGGUAUGUGUUCUCUUCCCUACACACACAUUAUAAAGCAUCUUGGGAUUGAAGGUGCUAUGUUAAAAGCGUUAUAUAAAUGCAAAUUGUACUUAAGUUUCCUCCAAGUAGCAGAACUAGCUCUGCUGCAGACUUCAGAUCAUUAAACUCAAGGCAUUUCUCCAUUGCCUAAUUGUU